Molecule: unclassified non-coding RNA, 512 nt
Filed under: Hevea brasiliensis (rubber tree)
Lineage: Eukaryota; Viridiplantae; Streptophyta; Magnoliopsida; Malpighiales; Euphorbiaceae
Source: RNAcentral
GUGCUGUUUUUCUUCUUUCCUUGUCUUCUCAAUGGUCUCUUUUUUUCUUUCUCUAGGAUCAAUAGCUUAUUAUCAUUAGCUUCUUUCUCUAGAAUAGGUUCUAAAAAUUUUCCAACUCAAACUUAUCAUUUUAAAUUUCAUUAUGUGAAGUCUCAACAAUCAAAACUUCAAAAUCUUCAAACCGAUCUUCUUGCUCUUCACUAUAAAAUUUCGUCAUUGCAUGCAUUUGAGGUUUAUUUACAUGUCCAAAAACUCUUGAUAAUGCUUCCAACUUUGCUUCAAUUCUAUCCAAGCAUUUAUCAUCAUUUUCUUCAGAUUUUUCUUCAAAUUAAAGAUUUGAGCACGCAUCAUAAACCAAAUGGUUACAACUUGUUGGUGGCUAAAUAAAAAAAGUCUUCCAAAUUCCAAUAUGCUUGUUGAAACAUAUAUUCCUUCUUUCAUGCUUCAAGUUUUUUCUCCCUUACUCGUAAAAGUUAUUUUGACAGUUCGAUAUUCAUAAAAUAAGUUAGGAG